RNAcentral lists this ribosomal RNA (534 nucleotides) under Triticum aestivum (bread wheat). RNAcentral's name for it is "partial small subunit ribosomal RNA". The record is from RNAcentral. Lineage: Eukaryota; Viridiplantae; Streptophyta; Magnoliopsida; Poales; Poaceae.
GAUGAGGAUGAACACCACGCAGUGGUGGGAUGCACCAAGAGUAGGGCACUCAGGCACAAAAUGAGGGAGGAGUGGGAUAUCCCAUCGGAAAAGCAUUUCCAGAAUACUGGCGAAGAUUGGCUACAGAUCCUACUGAGCUCCGUUCCAAAAGAUGUUCGCGUAAAAAUCUUGUUGCUGCUAUGGAGAUGCUGGCACCUCCGUGAAAAUUGCAUACAUGGGGAUGGAAAGGAGCCGGUUUUAGUAUCCGCCGCCUAUCUGUCGAAGAUGCAUGACGAAUGGAAGAACGUGGGUGUAGCCGGACAGGUGCUGGCCGGAAAGGACUCUGGGUUUCAGACAAAAUCAUGCCCAAGUACCCAUACAACUCAAAGAUAUCAGUGGACUACACCACCGAGAGGCAUAGCAAAACUGAACACCGAUGCCUCUUUUCUCCCAAACACCAAUCAGUGUUGGGGAGGCGCCGUCGCUCGAGAUCACAAAGGACAUGUCUACCUGUCGGUUGGAAGAGAGUUGGGCGAAGCUAAUGACGCUCUGUAG